This is a non-coding RNA of Ictidomys tridecemlineatus (thirteen-lined ground squirrel), 982 nucleotides long. NCBI's taxonomy places the organism in Eukaryota, Metazoa, Chordata, Mammalia, Rodentia, Sciuridae. The record is from RefSeq and is a predicted model, not a curated record.
AUGGUGAAUUUCAGAGUGAGCAGAUUUGGCCGUACUGGAUGCCUGGUCACCAGGGCUGCUUUCAAUGGUGAUAGAAUGGAUCUUGUUGCUAUCAAUGACCCCUUCAUUGGCCUCAAAUACAUGGUCUACAUGCUCCAGUAUGAUUUUACCCAGGGUAAAUUCAAUGGCACAGUCAAUGCUGAGAAUGGGAAGCUUGUCAUCAAUGGAAAAUCCACCUCUAUCUUCCAGAAGUAAGAUCCCACCAAUAUCAAAUAUUGAUAUUUGAUGCUGGUGCUGAAUAUGUGUGGAGUUCACUGGUGUCUUCAUUAAACAUGAAGAAAGCUGGAGCUCAUCUGAGGAGUGGUGCCACAAAGGUCAUCAUCUCUGUCCCUUUUGCGAUGCCCCAUGUUUGUGAUGGGUGUGAGCCAUGAGAAGUACAACAACUCCCCCAAGAUUGUCAGCAAUGCCUCCUAUACCACCAAAUGCUUAGCUCCCCCGGGCCAAGGCCAUCCAUGAUAACUUUGGCAUUGUGGAAGGACUCAUGACCACAAUCUGUGCCAUCACUGCUACUCAGAAUACUGUGGACGAUCCCUUUGGGAAACUGUGGCAUGAUGGAUAUGGGACUGCCUAGAAGAAUAUCAUCCCUGUAUCCACUGACUCUGCCAAGGCUGUGGGCAAGGUCAUCCCUGAACUGAAUGGGAAGCUCUCUGGCAUGGCUUUCCGUAUACCCAAUCCCAACAUGUCAUUUGUGAAUCUGACCAAAUAUGAUGACAUUGAGAAGGUGGUGAAUCAGUCAUAGAGGGCAUCUGGGGCUACAUGGAGGACCAGGUCAUCUCCUAAAACUUUAACAGUGAUACUCACUCUCCCACCUUCGAUGCUGGGACCAGCAUUGCCCUCAACCACCACUUUGUCAAGCUCAUUUCCUGGUAUGAAAAUGAAUUUGGCUACAGCAACAGGGUGGUGGAUCUUAUGGUCCACAUGGCCUCCAAGGAGUAAGAGCCUC